This 396-nucleotide ribosomal RNA is filed under the name uncultured bacterium. RNAcentral describes it as "bacterial SSU rRNA". It matches the Rfam family "Bacterial small subunit ribosomal RNA", at positions 505 to 898 of the family's 1533-position model. The record is from RNAcentral.
GUGUCAGCCGCCGCGGUAAUACAGAGGGUGCAAGCGUUGUUCGGAAUUACUGGGCGUAAAGCGCGCGCAGGCGGAUCCUGCAAGUCAGAAGUGAAAUCUCAUUGCUCAACGAUGAGGCUGCUUUUGAUACUGCGGAUCUGGAGACCGGUAGAGGCUGGUAGAAUUGCAGGUGUAGCGGUGGAAUGCGUAGAGAUCUGCAAGAAUACCCGUGGCGAAGGCGGCCAGCUGGGCCGGUUCUGACGCUGAGGCGCGAAAGCGUGGGGAGCAAACAGGAUUAGAUACCCUGGUAGUCCACGCCGUAAACGAUGGGCACUAGGUGCUGGGGGGAGCGACCCCGUCAGUGCCGUAGCUAACGCGAUAAGUGCCCCGCCUGGGGAGUACGGCCGCAAGGCUGAA